Molecule: long non-coding RNA, 3226 nt
Organism: Hylaeus anthracinus
Lineage: Eukaryota; Metazoa; Arthropoda; Insecta; Hymenoptera; Colletidae
Exons: 3
Source: RefSeq, a predicted model, not a curated record
AUCGAAUCUGCGAUAAGAUAUCAAUGUCACGGAAGAAUAAGAGUUUCGAUUGUUUGUCAGUCAAGCUUAUCCACCAGUAAACAUUUUUAGAUAUUGAACGUAAUUUUCACAGGAAAUGGUCGUACACGCUUGGGUAAACAACUGUUGUUUACCAACUAUAAAAUGAAUGAACGCGUUCAUUCUAACCUUUCUGUUCGUAGUAAAAUCGUCACAUAGAUUUCUUAGUAAUUUCGAGUUGUUUGCCAUGUAACCUAACAUGUUCUUCAAUAUUUCCUAUUUAGACAGCGAUUCGAAAAGAGUACACUGAGAAAUCUGAAGAAGGAAGAUGAUGAUUUUUAGUGGCCAGAGAAAUGGAAUGUAUUUUAUAGUUUUUAUAUUAUAUCUUUAUAUAGUUGAGUUUGGCACAUUCAACAAGCUGUACUAAAAUUUUCCCUUUUUUUGUAGUUUGUAGCAUGAGCUAGCAAGAUCGCUUGAAUUGAAAACUGCAUGGGGCGCUGGUAAGUCUAGCACCAGUCCUGGACUCACGCCACACGCUUGAAGAACAAGAAAAAUGAAAUUUUGUAGCAAGAGCGUUUGAAUUGAAAACUGCAUGGGGCGCUGGUAAGUCUAGUACCAGUCCUGGACUCACGCCACACGCUCGAAGCACAAUAGAAACGAUCGAGGUGGAACGGCCGUGUAAAAUCUUUAAUCGCAUUCUCUGGACACCGGCGCAGAUGGAGAGUAGUUUGAACUAAUUAACCCUGUUGGCCCGGGGCGCCGAGGUUCGCACGGACAGCGCUGCCGACUCACGCACCAGGCGUAGAGGUCGCGACAGCCCGGUCAAUCGGCCAAUACCAAUUACCCGUUAAUUUAUUACAAUCUUCCGUCAUUACCGAUUUGCUCGCGUGAGCACAGGUAGCGGGCACCGUCCCCUCGUUUGUGGGAAAAAAUUGCAUUUCGAUAUUUCUGCACUAUUUCCAACGAGACAAUUAUUUUCAAUUAGAAAACAUUAGGAAGUCGACGAUGGCGUAGGUGCAGUCUUUUGAAUACCGAUUGAGCAUAUAAUAGUUGCACUUUGUAGACGAUAUUCGUUGAAAUGAAUAAUUAAACGUGUAAAUCGCUAGACGAUUUCAGGAAAGAUUUAUCUAAUCAGGAGGAUACUAAUUGGAAGGUUUUAGAAAUUUAUGAAUCAUCUUGUGUUUACUUAGAGUCACGAGUCAUUCGAGAAGAGUUCCCUACUCUCUGAUAUUUGUUUAUCACUAAAUCACAGCGAGAAAAUAAUCUUUAACGAAUACCGUAUUCGACCUUUAUAUUAUUUAGUACUUACGAGUCGGGAUAUAGGGAGAAUCGCUAACUGUUAUAUUUCGAAGAUCUCUUAGAUUAUCGUUGUCAAACUAAACAAAGACGAGAUCUGUCAGCUGACGUUGACACCUGAUAUAAGCACAAUUUGUAAUCUAUAAUUUUAAUAUUUACUUGGCAAGAAAAUCGAUAAUGUUCAAAUUAUCGCGAUUAUCUAAUCGCCAUAGAAGUAUUCGAUAGACGACUAGUUCGCAGUUUGAUAAGGGAAUUCUAUGCCAUUACAUAAAAUAGUAAUAGCGAUAGAGAUUACACAAAUAUAACGAUGGAGAAAAUCCAUCAAUUCUCUAUCACGGUUCUCUUCAAAAUUAUAUCUCUAGCCCGUUACAUUAAACAAAAAAAAUUAUUUUUAACAGCUAGGAGGAUAAAUUCUACAAGCAAGGGUGGAAGAACUCUGAUGUACGAGAAAACAAGAUACAUCCAGAAAUAAUUGAGAGUAAAUACAGCACACACCGUGUCGUUGUCUAGGAAGAUCUAGAAUCUAGAGGGAGCUUGAAGUAGUCGAGGGCUGCGACACGAUCAAUCUAUCCGUCGAUCCCUUCUCGAUCCUGCGUGGGAUCCACCGUGGUAUACGCGCACGACCUGCCUGCACGAUAGGACGUCUGACCCGUCACUGACCAGUCUCCUGGUCAAAACCCUAAGCUUUAACUGAAAUCAAUUCGAUCCGUGCAUCACCCUUUCCCUCCCUCCGAUCUUUUCUCACUACCCAAUCGACGCAUUGUGGUUUGCGGUUACGCUGAGCAAUUUCGUUCAUUUGUACGUCAUAUACAUAGUACAGUGCGUAAGCAUAUUUUCCUAGUUUUCCGAUUAUAUGUACGCUGAUAUCACGCAGUCAGCCAGCCGCAAACAGCCCCCGAACAACAGUCGCCGACUAGUCUACCUAAUACAGAACACGCGAUGUCUGUCGGGCCUCCUACGACCGCUCUGUCCCUGCACUUGCAGUGAAUAUUAGAAAUUGGCCAAAUUAACAAUUGGAAGGACGCAAGAGUACCUCGCACAUACGUUUAAUUUGUAUAUUCAAUUGCACUUCUUUUAUAUGGUUAAUUUUGUAAAUUGAAUUGUAGCAAUUUUAGCUUCUGAGAUAAACAGUAGCUAGUCUGAGAUUGCGGAAUCGUCGCAUGCACAAUUGAAUAUACAAAGUAAGCAUAUGGAUGAGGUAUUAUGGCAUCCUCUUAUAUAGUUAAUUUGGUAAAUUGAAUCGUACCAAUUUUAGGUUCUUAAUUUAAACAGUAGCUUCUUGCAAAAUUAUCAUGCUUCUAUAAUGUAAAUGUGAUCGAUUCCAAAAGUGAAUUAGACUUGUACUUGAGAUCAGAGAAAAUGCAAAGUAUUCCAGUAGAAACAGCGAUGCGUAAGACGUUGUACGGCUUCGAGGGGGUGCGAAAUGGUGACGCGGGCGUAGGCGUACGAGAGAUUUUGAAGUCAAUCGCGGAAAGCAAUUACUAUCAUGCUUUGAAAUUAUUCCAUCUUGCUACAGAAAUAUUUACACAUUAAAUUCAAGGUUGUUCUUAGGGGUGGAUACUUGGUAAAUUUUAGCCAUUAAUUGUUUUCAAUUUCUUUCUCGAAAGAUUUGAUUCGUGCUAGAGUUACAAACUCAACUAAUCCUAUCAAACUCGUCAUUCUGUGGUUAGAGUUUCUAGGAUUGUACAAUUGUGAAUGAACGUAGAUUAGGGACUCAUUCGUUCAUGAGAUCAGACAAUUACGUUAAUUCAUAUUAGAAUUGUAUUGGUUGAUUAUUAAUACUUGGUUACUACAUUUCUAGAUCGGAAUUAUUCUUUUAGACUAUCAUAUUCAAAUGUUCGCGUAAAUAAUGUAAUAAACUGAUUUGCCUACAGGUACUGUGCUGUUACUUACGUCCUAGCCAAAGAUGCACGAGGAAGAAUAUCUGCCAGGA